Labrus mixtus (cuckoo wrasse) is the source of this 2219-nucleotide long non-coding RNA. RefSeq lists it as uncharacterized. The transcript is spliced from 2 exons. The record is from RefSeq and is a predicted model, not a curated record. NCBI's taxonomy places the organism in Eukaryota, Metazoa, Chordata, Actinopteri, Labriformes, Labridae.
CUUAUUCCCAGUACCAGAGUCCAGCUCAUUCCUUUACGUGUUUUUUUUUUUAUGAGUCAUGCUGGUGCACAGCUGCCCUCCUCUUCCAUCUGGACCACAAAAAAAGCAGAAGAGAAAACCUCAGCACAGCGAACAUCUUUAUUUAUUUGUCAGUUCUGUCUCUCUGCUUUUAAAACCACCCAUGAUUGCACCCCCGCUCCUCCCGUCCGCUCAGUAAAAACACUCCGCUGUCAUAACAGGAGAGACGGCCGCUGAGGGAGGGAGCGAAGAAGAAAUAGAGAAGAUGUUCACAACUCCCUCGCACAGACCUCACCUCUACAACCAGACCCUGGGUUUAACACAAUUCAGUCUGCUUGGAAACUGUGUUAGCCAGCAGCAAAGAGACACAGCGAGGGCUAAUAGGUGCCGUGAAAGCCCCGAGUCCAGAGCCAAUUGAAUCGACCACAACAGCUUUGUUCCCCUUCUGCAGCGCAGCAGGAGGCUCUAUGGCUUUUAUUGCUCACAUAUCGUUUUUGUUAUGAGCUUGUUACAUCUGGGUUUAUUCUCCUGUCAAGUUUUUGAUAGAGGACACACAACUAGGUGCAUGUUUUGUGAAUAAUCCAGUUAUUAGGACAAACAAAUAACAAAGCUCAGUUAACAGAUGUUGUGUAGGAGUGGAGUCAGAAACCGUAGAUGUCUGAAAACUUACAGUAGAUAUCAUAUUGAGUUUUGUUUUAUGCUUUAAUUUGAGUAAGCAAACAACUCAGAACAGGAAAUGUGUUCUUCUAAAGAUUAAACUUCAUCUUUUUCACAUCAGUUAGACCAACAUUUAUCUUUAGCUUUCAGGAAGGGCAGUACUAAAAUAAAUACCCAUACCUUUUAAUAUUGCAGUGUAGAAAUUAUCUUCUACAGCAUUCAAAAUAAUAAUAAAAAAAAUAAAAGGAUUAAAAUCAAAAUUUACUUUUUGUACCAUACUGUAAACUGGCAAGUAAAUUGCCCUUUUUCAGAAUGAUGUAAUAUAAUAAUAAUUAGGGAUUCAUUUAUUCGUUUAUCUCUUUUUUUGCAGCAGAAUUCAACUUCUUGAUGAAGUUUAAUCUACAUUUAUUAAUUGCAUUUAUUUGUGUAAUGCGUUUUGUAUCCGUCUGAAUCGGCACAGUAAUAACGUCCUAAAAAGUGGAGCACAGCAGAAUAUUUAGUGUUGCAGACGUCUUUGUUAAUGGUGUAAAAUCAUCCAAGCAUCAAGUGUUUUUUAAAUAUAUUUUGGGGGGCUUUCAUGCCUCUAUUGGAGGGUCAGGGCAGUGGAUAGAGUCAGUAAUCUGGAUGAGAGAGCGGGGGAGUGACAUGCAGGAAAGGAGCCACAGGUUAGGUCUGAUGCCUGCUCCAAUGACUACCUCCUUCAUACAUGGGGCGCGCACACUAACCACUAGGCCACUGUGGCGCCCCACAUUCAUCAGGUUUUUAAGCUACUGUACAAUCAGAGCAUCUUGGCUUUAGAUCGACUUUCCUAAGGGGUAAGUUUACUUCACUUUCCUCUGACCUUCCAUCUGCCGCAGUGUUUGGAUUUCAAGUGUUCGUUCUCUGUAAACUCUGCUCGUCAGCCCGCAGAGUCCAGAGUACUUCUGCUCUAUUACCAGAUCUUUAGUUACACUCAUUUGUCAUUCUCGAUCAUCAUCAGUGCUUUAUUAUGACUGCAAUGAAAACUGCUCGGGACAAGUUUAAACAUCACAUAUCAGGACCCCAGAAAUCUGGAUUUACAGUAAGUACUGUAAAUACAGAGUUCAGUGAGGUUAAAGUCAUGACUAAUAUCUGUUCAGAGCAGGACUGCAAAUAACAACUAGAGUGUCACAAACUUUUGAAAAUGCCCGUUAAACACAACUUAAACUGAAAGACCUUCAGUUUACUAUAAUGAAGCACCAAGGACAGCUUUAAAUCUUUACAUUUUAGAAGCAGCAAAAGUUACUAAAUUACAGGAUAUGUUGCCUUUUUAAAAACGUUUUUGCAUAUGUAAAAAUUCAUCUGAGGACAUGUUAUACAGCCCUUAUUCCUCAAGCAGCUGUUGGUUCUUGCUGACACGUCUGGCUCUCAGUGAUGAAUCUCGGCUCUCAAUCAUUCGUCCGUUACAGUGUUUACGCAGCCCCGUAACUGAAGCAUUUUCUUUGCGUUCCUCGCACACCGAGUCAUAACCAUGUCGUCCUGUGUCUGCUCGGUGCAGGCUGUUUACCUCAUGUGUGAAUGUGUGU